Molecule: non-coding RNA, 452 nt
Organism: Pelobates cultripes (western spadefoot toad)
Lineage: Eukaryota; Metazoa; Chordata; Amphibia; Anura; Pelobatidae
Source: the annotation of a GenBank genome assembly
CUGAAUUAAAAAAUGUAAUAUUGUUUUUAGGUUUUUCUUUUAUAUAACUUGAUGUUAGGGAAUCUUUUAAGUUGUUAAUUCCCCUAUGUAUAAAAUGUGGCUGGUCUGGCAGAAAAGUUUUUAGAGCUGGGUCUUGGAGUAGAAUAGGCCAAUAUCUGGACACUAUUUUUCUAACUUUAUGAUUCUCAGAGCUGUAAGUGCAUAUAAAGGGUAUUUUACCCAUUUCAUCUUUAUGUUUUUCCUUAUACUUUAUAAGGUCUUUUCUUUCUCUUUCUUUAAUUUCUAAUCUUGAUUUUUCUAAUUUAAAUUCUUCAUACCCCUUUUCUAGUCUAUUUAAUUUUAAUAGACUGUGCAUUAAAUGUUUCUAUAUCAGUGCAAUUCCUCCUUAUCCUCAAGAAUUGUCCUUUAGGAGCAUUUUCUAACCACGGGGAAAAAUGACAACUAUCUCUGCC